Long non-coding RNA from Corapipo altera (White-ruffed manakin), 113 nucleotides. RefSeq lists it as uncharacterized. NCBI's taxonomy places the organism in Eukaryota, Metazoa, Chordata, Aves, Passeriformes, Pipridae. The record is from RefSeq and is a predicted model, not a curated record. The transcript is spliced from 3 exons.
CCUUUGCCCUGUGAAUGUUAUCAUGUCCAGUCUUCGCGAACAAAUAUUUGGGAAAGGUCAUUACCCUUCAAGCCUGUGCAGUGGAUUUUUUAGGUGAGACACAGUGUUGCUGU